GAUGAAGAACGCAGCGAAAUGCGAUAAGUAAUGUGAAUUGCAGAAUUCAGUGAAUCAUCGAAUCUUUGAACGCACAUUGCGCCCGCCAGUAUUCUGGCGGGCAUGCCUGUUCGAGCGUCAUUUCAACCAUCAAGCCCCCGGCUUGUGUUGGGGACCUGCGGCUGCCGCAGGCCCUGAAAAGCAGUGGCGGGCUCGCUGUCACACCGAGCGUAGUAGCAUACAUCUCGCUCUGGGUGUGCUGCGGGUUCCGGCCGUUAAACCACCUUCAUAACCCAAGGUUGACCUCGGAUCAGGUAGGAAGACCCGCUGAACUUAAGCAUAUCAAUAAGCGGAGGA
RNAcentral lists this unclassified non-coding RNA (336 nucleotides) under soil metagenome. RNAcentral describes it as "partial contains 5.8S ribosomal RNA, internal transcribed spacer 2, and large subunit ribosomal RNA". The stretch from base 1 to 120 matches the Rfam family "5.8S ribosomal RNA", at positions 35 to 154 of the family's 154-position model. The record is from RNAcentral.